GUGCAAAUGAUGGAAAAUACCAUUUCACAGAGAAAAGUGAUGCUAACAAAGGAACCACUGAUGCAC
Molecule: small nucleolar RNA, 66 nt
Organism: Phascolarctos cinereus (koala)
Lineage: Eukaryota; Metazoa; Chordata; Mammalia; Diprotodontia; Phascolarctidae
Gene: SNORD42
Rfam family: Small nucleolar RNA SNORD42
About the family: snoRNA U42 is found in intron 3 of the ribosomal protein L23a (RPL23a) gene in humans and is also present in mice. U42 is a member of the C/D class of snoRNA which contain C (UGAUGA) and D (CUGA) box motifs. Most of the members of the box C/D family function in directing site-specific 2'-O-methylation of substrate RNAs.
Source: Ensembl